GAUGAAGAACGUAGCGAAAUGCGAUACGUAAUGUGAAUUGCAGAAUUCAGUGAAUCAUCGAGUCUUUGAACGCACAUUGCGCCCCCUGGUAUUCCGGGGGGCAUGCCUGUCCGAGCGUCAUUACAACCCUCAAGCUCUGCUUGGUGUUGGGCCCCGCCGCCCCGGCGGGCCCUAAAGUCAGUGGCGGUGCCAUCCGGCUCCGAGCGUAGUAAUUCUUCUCGCUCUGGAGGUCCGGUUGUGUGCUUGCCAUCAACCCCCAAUUUUUUUCAGGUUGACCUCGGAUCAGGUAGGGAUACCCGCUGAACUUAAGCAUAUCAAUAAGCGGAGGA
RNAcentral lists this unclassified non-coding RNA (329 nucleotides) under soil metagenome. RNAcentral's name for it is "partial contains 5.8S ribosomal RNA, internal transcribed spacer 2, and large subunit ribosomal RNA". The stretch from base 1 to 120 matches the Rfam family "5.8S ribosomal RNA", at positions 35 to 154 of the family's 154-position model. The record is from RNAcentral.